AUGGUAUUUCUCUCUUCCCGGUUCCAACAUCCGGGGCAGAGGCAGUCGACAAACGGGGCUUGUGUUAAGCUGGGGGCGAUGAGGAAGGAGCCAGAGAAGGGGCGCUCAGACGUUAUAUGGGUCCGCGGGGUGGGCACACGCGGCAGGGGCGGUGGCGUCAGCACCAUGGAUAGGGGCAGGGAUCCACACACAGGCCUCUGCCUGCCCAUCGCGGGCCAGGCUGGCCGUCGACAGCGCGCGGACAGUGUUUAUGGGUUGAGCGGGGCCAGAUCAGGGAGCACAGUGGCCCUGGAGACCACCGACCGCGCUGGGGAACGACGGGAAGCGGGAAGCGGCAAGGCCAGCGAGAGGGGCUCCAGGGGAGCCUGCGGUUUAGAGCGGGCGCAACCCCGGGGAGGGGAACGUGGGGCGCAAAGGAGCCGCUCCCCGCAGCCCACCCGCCAGGACCAGCUGAGCCUAGUGCGCCUUCUCCCCCGGGACGGGAGUGGCCGAUGACCACCCAACCCUUGCCCGCAGUCACAGCUCUGCACCCCUCCAGCUGCAGCACCACAGCGGCCGUCUGGACAAAGGGGCUGAGGAGAGAGCCAGCAGUGGAAGGGCACAACGUGGGCAACAGGGGACUCACAGCGGCUUCAGUGGCCUCUGCUGGGGGGGCGGGGGAGCGCUAACCGGACAGGCUCGCAGUGUUUUCUGUUAAUCCGCUACCUGCUUGAUGAUAUGAUUUGCAUAUCUUCAGAGGGGAAGUCAGACUUGAUCCCAGUCUAACUUCACAUUUUACGGUCUCAGGGAAAGGCUGCUAGAAAAGAUGAGGGCCCCGGGCGUCACAGAGACCAGGCCGGGCCAGCGGUCAUCGGUCCCCCAGUGAUGAUCGCUGUGGGGCUGACUCACACCAGGGUGCUUGGGUGUGGCUUGGGGGUCGGUCACUUCACAGGCCCAAGUUCCCUGCAGCAACUGGGACGGCACUCACUUUAGGCUGGGGUCUCCUGGGGACCCGAGAUACCCACAGACCAAGCAGCUGAGCAUGAGCUUGCCCAGGAGAGGCGUGGAAACAGUGACGCCCUUCAUGGUCAACCCUGCAGACACCAUGUGGGCCCGAUGGGCCUGUGCCCCUCCCCCCAGCAUCCUUAUCAACAAGGCCAGGGAACAGCGAGGCUGCCGGGGCAGAAGACCUACACACUGAGCCCCGAGUCUGACACUCCUCCCCACAGGACCA
This 1213-nucleotide long non-coding RNA is filed under the name Capra hircus (goat). RNAcentral describes it as "lncRNA (ENSCHIG00010012427.1)". The record is from RNAcentral. Lineage: Eukaryota; Metazoa; Chordata; Mammalia; Artiodactyla; Bovidae.